Molecule: long non-coding RNA, 1968 nt
Filed under: Canis lupus familiaris (dog)
Lineage: Eukaryota; Metazoa; Chordata; Mammalia; Carnivora; Canidae
Description: lncRNA (ENSCAFG00030008311.1)
Source: RNAcentral
AUGCCCAGCUCUGCCCCUCCCCUGCCCCCCUACCCCAUUCCCAGCCCAGACCCCCAACUACAGCCUCAGCCCCUUCCUACGGACUCUGAGCCCCCGACUCCGGCCGGGACCGGGACGCAGCCCCCUCCUCACGGACUGCGACCCCGACUCCAGCCGGGACCCUCGACUCCGACCCCCUCCUCACGGACCGCGACCCCCGACUCCAGCCGGGACCCUCGACUCCGACCCCCUCCUCACGGACCACGACCCCCGACUCCGGCCAGGACCCUCGACUCCGACCCCCUCCUCACGGACCGCGACCCCGACUCCAGCCGGGACCCUCGACUCCAGCCCCUUCCUCAAGGACCGCGACCCCGACUCCGGCCGGGACCCUCGACUCCAGCCCCUUCCUCAAGGACCGCGACCCCGACUCCGGCCGGGACCCUCGACUCCAGCCCCCUCCUCACGGACCGCGACCCCGACUCCGGCCGGGACCCUCGACUCCAGCCCCUUCCUCAAGGACCGCGACCCCGACUCCGGCCGGGACCCUCGACUCCGGCCCCCUCCUCACGGACCGCGACCCCGACUCCGGCCGGGACCCUCGACUCCGGCCCCUUCCUCAAGGACCGCGACCCCGACUCCGGCCGGGACCCUCGACUCCGACCCCCUCCUCACGGACCGCGACCCCGACUCCGGCCGGGACCCUCGACUCCGGCCCCCUCCUCACGGACCGCGACCCCGACUCCGGCCGGGACCCUCGACUCCGGCCCCUUCCUCAAGGACCGCGACCCCCGACUCCGGCCGGGAGACCCUCGACUCCGACCCCCUCCUCACGGACCGCGACCCCGACUCCAGCCGGGACCCUCGACUCCGACCCCCUCCUCACGGACCGCGACCCCCGACUCCGGCCGGGACCCUCGACUCCGACCCCCUCCUCACGGACCGCGACCCCCGACUCCGGCCGGGACCCUCGACUCCGACCCCUCCUCACGGACCGCGACCCCCGACUCCGGCCGGGACCCUCGACUCCGACCCCCUCCUCAAGGACCGCGACCCCCGACUCCAGCCGGGCUCCUCGACUCCAGCCCCUUCCUCACGGACCGCGACCCCCGACUCCGGCCGGGACCCUCGACUCCGACCCCCUCCUCACGGACCGCGACCCCGACUCCAGCCGGGACCCUCGACUCCGACCCCCUCCUCACGGACCGCGACCCCCGACUCCGGCCGGGACCCUCGACUCCGACCCCCUCCUCACGGACCGCGACCCCCGACUCCGGCCGGGACCCUCGACUCCGACCCCCUCCUCACGGACCGCGACCCCCGACUCCGGCCGGGACCCUCGACUCCGACCCCCUCCUCACGGACCGCGACCCCCGACUCCGGCCGGGACCCUCGACUCCGGCCCCUUCCUCACGGACCGCGACCCCCGACUCCAGCCGGGCCCCUCGACUCCGGCCCCUUCCUCACGGACCGCGACCCCCGACUCCAGCCGGGCCCCUCGACUCCAGCCCCUUCCUCACGCACCGCGACCCCCAACUCGGUCCACAGCCAAACCGGAGCCGUUCCAGGGCGCCUGCCCCGGGCCGCCCAGGGCCGCCCUCCGCCCCGGCCACGCCCCUGCCCCCCGAGCCCGAGGCAGGGCCGCCGGACCCCGGCCCGGCCGGCGGCUGCACGCGCCCUUACCUGAGCUCUGGCCGCCGCGGCCGCCUCAGCCUCGCCGCGCAGCCGAACCCGCCGCCUAGCCGGCAAGCGCCCGCUCCCUCCGGGGGCGGGGCCGGAGCCCGGGGGACGGGCACUGGCAGGCAGCGCGGCCAAUCAGGAGCCCGGACGGCGGGAGGCCCCGGGAGGGGCGGGGAGCGGGGCAGGCAGCGGGGUAGGCUGCGCCCAGGCGAGGGGGCGGGGCUCGCAGCGUGGGCGGGGCCAGGAGGUGGGACGCUGAGUGGCAUCGCCGCUGGCCACCCGCGAGCGGGGAACCGCGUGGUGGGGGCG